This 498-nucleotide ribosomal RNA is filed under the name uncultured bacterium. RNAcentral's name for it is "partial 16S ribosomal RNA". It matches the Rfam family "Bacterial small subunit ribosomal RNA", at positions 30 to 523 of the family's 1533-position model. The record is from RNAcentral.
AUUGAACGCUGGCGGCAUGCCUUACACAUGCAAGUCGAACGGUAACGCGGGGCAACCUGGCGACGAGUGGCGAACGGGUGAGUAAUGUAUCGGAACGUGCCCAGUUGUGGGGGAUAACUGCUCGAAAGAGCAGCUAAUACCGCAUACGACCUGAGGGUGAAAGCGGGGAAUCGCAAGACCUCGCGCAAUUGGAGCGGCCGAUAUCAGAUUAGGUAGUUGGUGGGGUAAAGGCUCACCAAGCCGACGACCUGUAGCUGGUCUGAGAGGACGACCAGCCACACUGGGACUGAGACACGGCCCAGACUCCUACGGGAGGCAGCAGUGGGGAAUUUUGGACAAUGGACGCAAGUCUGAUCCAGCCAUGCCGCGUGCGGGAAGAAGGCCUUCGGGUUGUAAACCGCUUUUGUCAGGGAAGAAAAGGCUCCUUCUAAUAUAGGGGGCUCAUGACGGUACCUGAAGAAUAAGCACCGGCUAACUACGUGCCAGCCGCCGCCGUAA